UACGGAGGGUGCGAGCGUUGUCCGGAAUCAUUGGGCGUAAAGGGCGCGUAGGUGGCCCGGUCAGUUCGUGGUGAAAGCGCGGGGCUCAACCCUGCGUCGGCCAUGAAUACUGCCGCGGCUGGAGCACUGUAGAGGCAGGCGGAAUUCCGGGUGUAGCGGUGGAAUGCGUAGAGAUCCGGAGGAACACCGGUGGCGAAGGCGGCAUCCUGGACCAACACUGACACUGAGGAGCGAAAGCCAGGGGAGCAAACGGG
RNAcentral lists this ribosomal RNA (254 nucleotides) under uncultured bacterium. RNAcentral's name for it is "partial 16S ribosomal RNA". It matches the Rfam family "Bacterial small subunit ribosomal RNA", at positions 524 to 776 of the family's 1533-position model. The record is from RNAcentral.